UCUCUUAACCACUUUUCAUUUAUAAGGAAAUAGCUUCUGAGAUAAAGGGAUCAUUAUACCUUCUGCUUUUAGGGUUUGUCUCCAGCUCAACUCCUUUGUCAGAGGACUGGAGGAAUUGUGUUGAACAAAAGGACUCUACCCCUAUCUUCUUCAACAGAUUCACCUCUCUGCUCAUCCCUCUGUUCUGAGAUGCUGAGCGUGUCCACAUCUCCAGUUUCCGUGGAGGUCUCUCUAGAGUGGACCUGAUGCGUGAGUGACAGACCAAAGCUAGUUCAUGGAGCCCUGUGGAAAUAGGUGUAAGCGUCAAGAGCUCAUCAACGUCUGGCCAAACAAUAUCCCAGAACUAAAGAGAUGCACAUAUUUUGUCUGCUUUAGUCUCUCAUGCCCCUGAGGCAGUGCUGUUAACAGCUCUGGUUUGAAGGUAAGUGCAAAGCAUACCACGACAAGUUUGCUGUUCUUAAAGCUUAAGAUCAUCC
RNAcentral lists this long non-coding RNA (476 nucleotides) under Oryctolagus cuniculus (rabbit). Its description in RNAcentral is "lncRNA (ENSOCUG00000037062.1)". The record is from RNAcentral. Lineage: Eukaryota; Metazoa; Chordata; Mammalia; Lagomorpha; Leporidae.